AACGAACGCUGGCGGCAUGCCUAACACAUGCAAGUCGAACGAGACCUUCGGGCUUUUUGGCGGUCGGGUGCGUAACACGUGGGAAGUUGCCCGUAGGUUAGGAAUACCUCCCUGUAGGGGGUCCUAAGACCGCUUAAUGUAUUACGACAAAAGAUCUAUGGCGUCUGGGUGGGGGCUGGUUGGUUUCGUUGGUUGGUAGGGUAAUAGCCGAUCAAGGGGAGGAUGCAUGGCUGGUGGGGUAGGAUGAUCAGUCACACUGGGACUGAGACACGGCCCAGACUCCUACGGGAGGGAGCAGUAGGGAAUAUUGGAGAAUGGGGGAAGGCCUGAUCCAGCAAUGCGGCGUGAGUGGUGAAGGCGUUGGGGUUGUAAAGCUCUUUUAGACGGGAUGAUAAUGACAGUACCGGGAGAAUAAGCUCCGGCUAACUCCGUG
Molecule: ribosomal RNA, 433 nt
Filed under: uncultured bacterium
Lineage: Bacteria
Description: partial 16S ribosomal RNA
Rfam family: Bacterial small subunit ribosomal RNA
Source: RNAcentral